UACGGAGGGUGCGAGCGUUAUUCGGAAUUACUGGGCGUAAAGCGCACGCAGGCGGUUGCCCAAGUCAGAUGUGAAAGCCCCGGGCUUAACCUGGGAACUGCAUUUGAAACUGGGCGACUAGAGUAUGAAAGAGGAAAGCGGAAUUUCCAGUGUAGCAGUGAAAUGCGUAGAUAUUGGAAGGAACACCGAUGGCGAAGGCAGCUUUCUGGGUCGAUACUGACGCUCAUGUGCGAAAGCGUGGGGAGCAAAC
Molecule: ribosomal RNA, 250 nt
Filed under: uncultured Cardiobacterium sp.
Lineage: Bacteria; Pseudomonadati; Pseudomonadota; Gammaproteobacteria; Cardiobacteriales; Cardiobacteriaceae
Description: partial 16S ribosomal RNA
Rfam family: Bacterial small subunit ribosomal RNA
Source: RNAcentral